GUGAAGAACGCAGCGAAAUGCGAUAAGUAAUGUGAAUUGCAGAAUUCAGUGAAUCAUCGAAUCUUUGAACGCACAUUGCGCCCUCUGGUAUUCCGGGGGGCAUGCCUGUUCGAGCGUCAUUAUAACCACUCAAGCUCUCGCUUGGUAUUGGGGUUCGCGGUUUCGCGGCCCCUAAAAUCAGUGGCGGUGCCUGUCGGCUCUACGCGUAGUAAUACUUCUCGCGAUUGAGUUCGAUAGGUCUACUUGCCAGUAACCCCCAAUUUUUACAGGUUGACCUCGGAUCAGGUAGGGAUACCCGCUGAACUUAAGCAUAUCAAUAAGCGGAGGA
This 328-nucleotide unclassified non-coding RNA is filed under the name soil metagenome. Its description in RNAcentral is "partial contains 5.8S ribosomal RNA, internal transcribed spacer 2, and large subunit ribosomal RNA". The stretch from base 2 to 119 matches the Rfam family "5.8S ribosomal RNA", at positions 37 to 154 of the family's 154-position model. The record is from RNAcentral.